UGAGCAGGAUCAUGACCUGAACUGAAAGCAGCCGCUUAACUGACUGACUGAGCCACCCAGGCGCCCCUUGAGUCCCAUUUCUGUGACAAGACCAGGAACUUUCCAAGAAGCAGGCAAAAUAAAUGAAGGGGAAGCAAGAGGUUAAUACAGCAUCAUGCUUCAGUUACUCCUCUACAAAUGAACCCCAGGGAAAUCAUGGUAGCCAGUGGGACCAACAGUUUUACUAAUAAGAGGAACGUGUGGUAGGAGCAAGGGUGAUCUACACACUGUAUGGAAUGAUGAUGCGUCAGGAGCACCUCAGAACCUAAAAGCACACUGCAGGGAUCAGACCCAUCAAACUGCCAGGGAGAGUCUAAUGGAAGAAUUGUCCUGGUGCUCCAAGGAAAGAGUCCAGUCCCAGGGCUCCUGCAGCCGGACUUGGGGAGAUGUUGCCGGUAGUGGUGACUUCGGAAAGAGCAACGUGUGAACGUGAGGAAAGAUGAUGUACCUCGUUGGAAGAACUGGUUUCACACCCAAUAAACCAAAAGAUAACCCUGAUGAGAUGUUAGUGCUGCCAGACGGUCUGGACCUCCAGUCCCAGCUCUGCUCUGUUAGGGAUGCGGCCUGAGGCCUCAUCUGCGAUCGAGUACUACUUACUUUGUAAACUUGGGAAGGCUGUGGGGAGAGGUCAGGAGACUGUGAAGAGCCCUGGGCAGAGCUGUUGACUCCCAGUAACAGAGCCUCUCUGAAAAGGAGAGCUAAACCGAAAUUCUGAAUGAGCCCGCUUUCUCCACUGCCCCGCCAGGCACCGAGCCCUGGAACCACUGAAAACUGGCAACUCGAGGCAUCGCACGUCUAACCUGUUUUGAUGGCUCUCUUUGCUGCAAGAUACUGUUUAUCUUUAAUAUUUGCGAUCCAUGGCUGUAGUCCUAGCGUCAUAGAAACAGCCAUCUGGUUGGAACUAUUUCUUUUGGAGAAUAUAUAUUCAAGAUGCUGCUUCACCUGAAAAGGAACAUUUUCAGUGGAGACUUCAAAGAACUCUGCAUUAUGUUUGAGCCACUUUUCUUCCCUGCUAUGGCCAAGACAGGCUGGUCCGAGGGAGGAGAUCUACUUCACAACAAUCAACUUGACCACUUCUGUUGGGCACGAUUCUCCCUCUCCUGGCAGCCUCCAGAAGCAGUCAUAGUCACCACACACCGUAGCAGGCAAAGGUUUUAAAAAGAAGAAGGUGGGGAAAGAAAACAUCCAAAUUCGCCAGAAAUGAAUGCUUUGGGCUCUGGCUUCUUUCCUACACUGCGGCAGCGAUGUAGCAAUGUACAGAUUAGCCCCAAAGGCUCUUAAUUCCGCCUACUGAAAUGAAGACUUAGGAGUCUUGGAGCUAGAAUAGUCUCAGACUGUUCUCAAUCUUUAAGCAGAGAGGAAGCACGGGUAGCUGAAGGCCGGCAUGGGAUGGAGUCUAAGAAGCCGACUUGGAAAAGCACGUCUGUGAACUGAGUGAUGGCCCCCGGGUUCCGUGCCCGAGGCCAGUGGCACCUGUCAGACCCCAGAUAAAGUUCUGGGGCUCUAGACCCGAGGGAGGUGAAUGGCUGUGACAGUGAAAAUCUGCCCCCGAAUCAACAUCCGCUUUCAGUCCUGAGAUGUGCAGAUUUGCAGCCCCCGUGGUAAAUGAGGAACAGGAGAAAUAGGAUUUAUUACUGUCACUCCUCUUUCAGGAGGAGACCGUACCUUGGUGUCAAACAGAAAUCUCUUAACCUGGACGCUGUUCCGGUAUUCUUCUAGGUCCAGAUCGAUGGCUUCAUACAUCUUUCUCUCCUCUUCAGUAAGAGGGGCCACCUGGUCAUAGAUUCCAGGGAUCAGAAUAUGACCAGAGGAGUCUACAAGGCUACCUGCAAGGUACGCACAGGAAAUAAAGUCAGGUCGAAGUUA
This is a non-coding RNA of Leptonychotes weddellii (Weddell seal), 1905 nucleotides long. NCBI's taxonomy places the organism in Eukaryota, Metazoa, Chordata, Mammalia, Carnivora, Phocidae. The record is from RefSeq and is a predicted model, not a curated record.